CUGGUUUACCAGUGAAGAAGAAAGAGAGGCAGCGUUAAACCAUCAGAUCCUCCAACAUGAACGUGGGUCAGUCUCUGAUCUGCCUCUUCUUCCUCACACUGCAGGAUGGAAACAUCGGUCUCAUCAAUGCAAAAAUCAUCAAGAGAACAAGAACUGAAGGAGAAGACAUCACCGUUGGAUGCUCCUUCAAGUUGGGUGGAAAGAGGAGAAUCUUCUGUAAGGAUGAAUGUAAAGACGGAGACAUUCUCAUUGAGACAGAAGAGGACACAGCUCAGAGAGGCAGAUACAGCAUCAGAUAUAAAUAUCCAUUGUUUUCUGAUACAGUUCUGUAUGUGAGCAUCAGAAACCUGACUCAGUCAGACUCAGGACGGUACAGAUGGGGUUU
Molecule: long non-coding RNA, 385 nt
Organism: Etheostoma spectabile (orangethroat darter)
Lineage: Eukaryota; Metazoa; Chordata; Actinopteri; Perciformes; Percidae
Exons: 2
Source: RefSeq, a predicted model, not a curated record